GACCUGCGGAGGAUCAUUAUUGAAUAAACUUGGUUAGGUUGCUGCUGGUCUUUAGGGACAUGUGCACACCUAAUUCAAWUUUUAACCACCUGUGCACCUUUUGUAGACUUAGGAUAUUUCUCUGGGGAAACUCAGUAUGAGGAUUGCUGUGCGAAAGUCAGCUUUUCUUGCAUUCCUAGUCUAUGUUUUAUAUACCCCAAUAAGCAAGUCAUAGAAUGUAAUUAAUAGGCCUUUUGUGCCUUUAAAGCAAAUAUAACUUUCAACAACGGAUCUCUUGGCUCUCGCAUCGAUGAAGAACGCAGCGAAAUGCGAUAAGUAAUGUGAAUUGCAGAAUUCAGUGAAUCAUCGAAUCUUUGAACGCACCUUGCGCUCCUUGGUAUUCCGAGGAGCAUGCCUGUUUGAGUGUCAUGAAUCUCUCAACCKUUUCAGUUUUUGUUAACUGGUCUGGCUUGGAUUGUGGGGGUUGCUGGCUUUAUCAAAAGUUUGCUCUCCUUAAAUGUAUUAGCAAUACCUUUGCUGACCAUCUCUGGUGUGAUAACUAUCUACGCCAUUGGGAAAUCAGCAUAUGCUUCUAAUAGUCUGUUUGGACAAUUUUUGACAAUUUGACCUCAAAUCAGGUAGGAUUACCCGCUGAACUUAAGCAUAUC
RNAcentral lists this ribosomal RNA (647 nucleotides) under uncultured fungus. RNAcentral describes it as "eukaryotic LSU rRNA". Lineage: Eukaryota; Fungi. The record is from RNAcentral.